Ictidomys tridecemlineatus (thirteen-lined ground squirrel) is the source of this 69-nucleotide non-coding RNA. NCBI's taxonomy places the organism in Eukaryota, Metazoa, Chordata, Mammalia, Rodentia, Sciuridae. The record is from Rfam.
GGGGCUGUAGCUCAAUGGUAGAGAGCUCAUCUAGCAUGCAUGAGGCACUGGGUUCGAUCCUCAGCCCCA